CCUACGGGUGGCAGCAGUGAGGAAUAUUGGUCAAUGGGCGCGAGCCUGAACCAGCCAAGUCGCGUGAAGGAUGACUGCCCUACGGGUUGUAAACUUCUUUUAUAAAGGAAUAAAGUGAGGCACGUGUGCCUUUUUGUAUGUACUUUAUGAAUAAGGAUCGGCUAACUCCGUGCCAGCAGCCGCGGUAAUACGGAGGAUUCGAGCGUUAUCCGGAUUUAUUGGGUUUAAAGGGAGCGUAGAUGGGUUGUUAAGUCAGGUGUGAAAGUUUGCGGCUCAACCGUAAAAGUGCAAUUGAUACUGGCAGCCUUGAGUACAGGAGAGGUAGGCGGAAUUCGUGGUGUAGCGGUGAAAUGCUUAGAUAUCACGAAGAACUCCGAUUGCGAAGGCAGCUUACUAAACUGCCACUGACAUUGAUGCUCGAAAGUGUGGGUAUCAAACAGGAUUAGAUACCCCUGUAGUC
RNAcentral lists this ribosomal RNA (460 nucleotides) under uncultured bacterium. RNAcentral describes it as "partial 16S ribosomal RNA". It matches the Rfam family "Bacterial small subunit ribosomal RNA", at positions 338 to 795 of the family's 1533-position model. The record is from RNAcentral.